GAUUGCCUUGCUCAAAUCACAACCCAGUCAUUCUCACACAGCUUCACUUAAUCAAGUGCAUUCCCUCAGUCAUUCUGAAUCUGACAUGUCAAAAAUAUCUGGACCUUUUAACUUGGAAAACGACUGGAAUGGGUGAAGUGAGGAAUGGCUUGUAUCACCUACUGAGGAAUGAAGUCUCCCCUACAGCUUUAGUUGAAGUCCUAUCCUCUCUAACCACCAACACUGUCAUUUCUGCUUCUGUCAUCAACAACCAUGAAGGUUUCAGUCUAUGGCACUAUAGACUUGGGCACCUCUCAGAUUCUAGGAUGAACUUGAUUAGCAAAAAUGAAAUUUCUGAUUUUGAUGUUGCUACCAUACCCUGCUCAGUUUGCCCUUUAGCAAAAUUACACAAACUACCUUUUCCUACUAGCCAUCAUAAAUCAGAAAAAUGUUUUGAUUUAGUCUA
Molecule: long non-coding RNA, 445 nt
Organism: Carya illinoinensis
Lineage: Eukaryota; Viridiplantae; Streptophyta; Magnoliopsida; Fagales; Juglandaceae
Exons: 2
Source: RefSeq, a predicted model, not a curated record